This 253-nucleotide ribosomal RNA is filed under the name uncultured Leptolyngbya sp. Its description in RNAcentral is "partial 16S ribosomal RNA". It matches the Rfam family "Bacterial small subunit ribosomal RNA", at positions 524 to 776 of the family's 1533-position model. The record is from RNAcentral. Lineage: Bacteria; Bacillati; Cyanobacteriota; Cyanophyceae; Leptolyngbyales; Leptolyngbyaceae.
UACGGAGGAUGCAAGCGUUAUCCGGAAUUAUUGGGCGUAAAGCGUCCGUAGGUGGCUAUAUAAGUCUUUUGUCAAAUCGUGCAGCUUAACUGCAUACAGGCGGAGGAAACUAUAGAGCUAGAGUGCGAUAGGGGUCACAGGAAUUCCCAGUGUAGCGGUGAAAUGCGUAGAUAUUGGGAAGAACACCAGCGGCGAAAGCGUGUGACUGGGUCUGCACUGACACUGAGGGACGAAAGCUAGGGGAGCGAAAGGG